UAAUAUUGGUGGCCGACAGCUAGGUCAUCAAUCAGUUUGUGUUUGGUGUGGUAUAUCCAUUUCAAGAAGAACGGGCAGACGUUCUCGUCCCUUAACGGAUGAUCAUCCUGAGCGGGCUUAUGUAGCUGGCAUCAUCAGCCCCCGACAGAUUCCACCAAAUGGUCGAGCAUGUAAUGCCUGUUGGCAAAGGGCCCACAGCAAUAUUCUACAAGUCAUUGAACCACCAAGAGAGUCCCAAGAAACUAGUGACAAUGCAGAAAGUAGGUCUAGCUCUGUAGCUGCACCUGUAAGUACAUUCAGUUCGGAAAUUGAUAUGGACAUAGUUCAAAAUGACAAUGUACUUGUUGAACUAGAAGGUUACAGUCGAACUCCAAAUUCAUCUAACCAUUGUUUUGUUCCCGAUUGUACAAACUCGGAACGUCUAAGAGUUCCUAUUUACAUUAAGAAACAAAUAUUAAUUGACUACAAAUUGUAUGUCUCACCUAAUGCCCGAGUAUGUGAAGAACAUGCAAGUGUAUAUAAUUGGGAACUGUUGACUGAAUAUCAGUUUACAACGCAGUUUACUCAAAGUCAUAUAGUAGAAAUGCUAGAUUUAUUAAGAAAAAAAACAGUAAACAUUAUUGAUUUUGAAAAUGUUGGAAAUAUGAACAACCAUAUUUGUCGUUAUUGGACAGGCUUAACUGUAUUGAACUUUUUAGCACUACUGAGCUGUAUUACAAGUGAAUUGUCAAAUAUAUGUAAAAAACCUAAAACAGCUUUAGGAUUGUACCUCAUGAAAAUAAGAACUGGGGAGCCAAUUAGACGAAUUGCAUCAUUAAUGAGCAUGAAUAAAUCGGUAGCAUGCAGUUAUAUGAAAAAGGCACGUCACUGCUUGACCGAAUUUUAUGUACCUAGACAUUUAGGUGUAAAUCAUAUUCCUCGAACAAGCCUGUCCAGUAGAAACCUUUUAAUCCCACAGGGUCUUUUUGGAACAGCAGAAAAUAACCCCAUAAUUAUUUGCGAUGGGACAUACAUAUAUUUACAGAAAUCAUCUAACUAUCUGUUCCAAAAAAAAACAUAUAGCUUACACAAGUUUGCAAAUCUUGUAAAACCCCUGAUGGCCACAUUAUAGACAUAUUUGGCCCAUACGCAGCCACAACAUCAGACGCUACAAUUAUGCGACUGCUGUUCGAAAAUGAAAAUUCUGAGUUAAGGCAAUAUUUUAGACAGAAUGAUGUUUUUAUUCUCGACCGUGGUUUUAGAGACUCUAUCCCAUUAUUGACAUCUUUGGGAUAUACAGUUUGUAAACCUGAGACCCUAAGCGAAGGGGAAACUCAAUUAUCAACUGAAAAAGCCAACAAAUCACGGCUAGUGACACUGUGCAGGUGGGUUGUAGAAGUUGUAAAUGGUCUGUUUAAACGGGAUUUCAAAAUAUUUCGAAAUAAAUAUUUUAAUAUAGGGUCUCAAAACCUAAUGAAUGACUUCAAAAUUGCAGGAGCUAUUUUAAACCAUUUUCAUCCUGUUUUGACUGACCAUCCUGAUGCUCAAAAUAUACUGGAAAGAGCUAAUCAGAGAAUGAACAUGGAAAACUAUUUAGCUAACCAUGUGAUUAGGCAUCAGCUUAAUAGACGCCGAGCCAGUUUCGUCCAUAUAAAUGCUCAAAUGCCACAGCUGAAUGUGUUCCCCAUCAUGGAGAUGUCAGAUUUAGUUUUAUUUAGUUUGGGUAUUUAUCAAAUUAAACAGGCACACUCUUAUUAUGGGGAACAUAUUCGGCCAAAUGGUACUUUUACUGUAGAAGUAAGUGAAGAUGUACAAUUGAUAAAUAUUUCAGGCAUUUCGUCAUCACAUGAGACAGUAUUAAUCAGAGGACGAAUAAAGUCACGCCACAUUAGUAGUCGAGUGUAUUACACAUAUAUUUUAUUGAAAGUGGCAGAGACUAAUUGGCAAAACUGCAUUUCUGAUUAUUAUUGUAGUUGCAUAAUUGGAAAAAGAACUGUUGGAAGCUGUGCUCAUGUGAUGACAAUAGUCUGGUAUCUUGGAUGGGCUCGGCAUCAAAAUAAUAUAUCUCCACCUGCGCAGUUUCUCGACAGUAUUUUAAUAAGAGAAGACGUUGAAAAUGAAGAAAAUCAAUAAAUAAAUACUAUUUAAAAA
Helicoverpa armigera (cotton bollworm) is the source of this 2130-nucleotide long non-coding RNA. RefSeq lists it as uncharacterized. The record is from RefSeq and is a predicted model, not a curated record. Lineage: Eukaryota; Metazoa; Arthropoda; Insecta; Lepidoptera; Noctuidae. The transcript is spliced from 2 exons.